RNAcentral lists this ribosomal RNA (255 nucleotides) under uncultured bacterium. RNAcentral describes it as "partial 16S ribosomal RNA". It matches the Rfam family "Bacterial small subunit ribosomal RNA", at positions 220 to 473 of the family's 1533-position model. The record is from RNAcentral.
GAUGGAUGGGCCCGCGGUGCAUUAGUUAGUUGGUGGGGUAAUGGCCUACCAAGACCAUGAUGCAUAGCCGACCUGAGAGCGUGAUCGGCCACACUGGGACUGAGACACGGCCCAGACUCCUACGGGAGGCAGCAGUAGGGAAUCUUCGGCAAUGGACGAAAGUCUGACCGAGCAACGCCGCGUGAGUGAAGAAGGUUUUCGGAUCGUAAAACUCUGUUGUUAGAGAAGAAUAAGUGAUAGAGUAACUGUUAUCAC